CCUACGGGAGGCAGCAGUGGGGAAUAUUGGGCAAUGGGCGCAAGCCUGACCCAGCAACGCCGCGUGAGGGAAGAAGGCUUUCGGGUUGUAAACUUCUGUUCGCAGGGACGAAGCAAGUGACGGUACCUGAGGAAGAAGCCACGGCUAACUACGUGCCAGCAGCCGCGGUAAUACGUAGGGGGCAAGCGUGAUCCGGAUUUACUGGGUGUAAAGGGCGGGUAGGCGGGACUGGAAGUCAGAUGGGAAAGCCACGGGCCUAACCUCUGGCCUGCAUUUGAAACUGUAGUUCUUGAGUACAGGAGAGGCAGACGGAAUGCGUAGUGUAGCGGUGAAAUGCGUAGAUAUUAGGAGGAACACCAGUGGCGAAGGCGGUCUGCUGGACAGCAACUGACGCUGAGGCGCGAAAGCGUGGGGAGCAAACAGGAUUAGAUACCCCUGUAGUC
Molecule: ribosomal RNA, 443 nt
Filed under: uncultured bacterium
Lineage: Bacteria
Description: partial 16S ribosomal RNA
Rfam family: Bacterial small subunit ribosomal RNA
Source: RNAcentral